CCUACGGGUGGCAGCAGUGGGGAAUAUUGGGCAAUGGGCGCAAGCCUGACCCAGCAACGCCGCGUGAAGGAAGAAGGCUUUCGGGUUGUAAACUUCUUUUCUGAGGGACGAAGAAAGUGACGGUACCUCAGGAAUAAGCCACGGCUAACUACUGGCCAGCAGCCGCGGUAAUACGUAGGUGGCAAGCGUUAUCCGGAUUUAUUGGGUGUAAAGGGCGGGUAGGCGGGAAAGAAAGCCGGAUGUGAAAACUCCGGGCUCAACCCCGGGCCUGCAUUUGAAACUGUUUGUCUUGAGUGCUGGAGAGGCAAGCGGAAUUCCGUGUGUAGCGGUGAAAUGCGUAGAUAUACGGAGGAACACCAGUGGCGAAGGCGGAUUGCUGGACAGUGACUGACGCUGAGGCGCGAAAGCGUGGGGAGCAAACAGGAUUAGAUACCCCGGUAGUC
Molecule: ribosomal RNA, 443 nt
Filed under: uncultured bacterium
Lineage: Bacteria
Description: partial 16S ribosomal RNA
Rfam family: Bacterial small subunit ribosomal RNA
Source: RNAcentral